RNAcentral lists this ribosomal RNA (524 nucleotides) under uncultured bacterium. Its description in RNAcentral is "partial 16S ribosomal RNA". It matches the Rfam family "Bacterial small subunit ribosomal RNA", at positions 28 to 523 of the family's 1533-position model. The record is from RNAcentral.
GACGAACGCUGGCGGCGUGCCUAAUACAUGCAAGUCGAACGAAGCUGUUUUAACUGGUGCUUGCACCGACUUAAACAACUGAGUGGCGAACGGGUGAGUAACACGUGGGUAACCUGCCCCAAAGCGGGGGAUAACAUUUGGAAGCAGAUGCUAAUACCGCAUAACCACAGAAACCACAUGGUUUCUGUGUCAAAGAUGGUUUCGGCUAUCACUUUGGGAUGGACCCGCGGCGUAUUAGCUAGUUGGUAAGGUAAUGGCUUACCAAGGCAAUGAUACGUAGCCGAACUGAGAGGUUGAUCGGCCACAUUGGGACUGAGACACGGCCCAAACUCCUACGGGAGGCAGCAGUAGGGAAUCUUCCACAAUGGACGAAAGUCUGAUGGAGCAACGCCGCGUGAGUGAAGAAGGUUUUCGGAUCGUAAAACUCUGUUGUCAGAGAAGAACGUGUGCGAGAGUAACUGUUCGUGCAGUGACGGUAUCUGGCCAGAAAGCCACGGCUAACUACGAGCCAGCCGCCGCGGUAA